Molecule: ribosomal RNA, 253 nt
Filed under: uncultured bacterium
Lineage: Bacteria
Description: partial 16S ribosomal RNA
Rfam family: Bacterial small subunit ribosomal RNA
Source: RNAcentral
UACGUAGGCAGCGAGCGUUGUUCGGAGUUACUGGGCGUAAAGGGUGCGUAGGCGGUUUUCCAAGUUUGGUGUGAAAUCUCCCGGCUCAACUGGGAGGGUGCGCCGAAAACUGGGGGACUGGAGUACCGGAGAGGUAAGCGGAAUUCCUGGUGUAGCGGUGAAAUGCGUAGAGAUCAGGAGGAACACCUGUGGUGUAGACAGCUUACUGGACGGUCACUGACGCUGAGGCACGAAAGCGUGGGUAGCAAACAGG